This is a long non-coding RNA of Dioscorea cayenensis subsp. rotundata (Guinea yam), 341 nucleotides long. RefSeq lists it as uncharacterized. The record is from RefSeq and is a predicted model, not a curated record. NCBI's taxonomy places the organism in Eukaryota, Viridiplantae, Streptophyta, Magnoliopsida, Dioscoreales, Dioscoreaceae. The transcript is spliced from 3 exons.
UCUAGUGGUAAUGAGGAAUUCCCGGAGGAAUUCAUGGGUUUCCAUCACAUCUGUGCCUUUGAUAUUUGAGCCUUUUAACUUCAUUGUUUUUCUUCUUCUCUUGUGCUUCUUCUUCAUUUCUUUGUCUUGUAAGGGAGGUUGCUAGCUAGAAGAUUUUUGAAGCUUGGUUUUCAGCUGGACUAUCUUUUCAACACUCUCUUUUCCGGCCAUCGUAGAUUGUUUUAGGGAGUGGCAUUGGAUCUCAUUUUUUUGGGCUUAAGCUAAUAUCAGAUCUUGAGUGAUAGACCGGCGUGGAUCUUGAAAGAUUGUCUGUAGAUGUCUUAUCCUGUUGUAAAUUGUAG